GCCUGCGCAAACCAGCUGCCUCACCAGCCCUGGAGCUCGCACCACGUGGCCUCACCUCACGUGUGCUGUCCCCCUGGCCACGUCUGUCUUUGUCUCACCUGACGUGCUGUGCCUCUCCUGCCAGGGCUCUGUCCUGUCUGCCGCCACUACCGCCGCAUGGCCCUGCUCGGCCUGCAGCCCGCUCGCCGCUUCGCUCCCUCAGAGACCCCGCGCCAGCGGUCCGUAUUGGCCACGGUCAUAUUUCUCUGCUUCUUUGCACGCCUGAUAAUUUUUAACUUGAUAUCUACAUUGUGAAUUUCACCUUGGCCUCCAGCACAAGACAGGGUUUUCCCUGUCUCCCCACUCCUCUGUUGCCAAUCCUGCUUGCAUGUGCUUAAUGAGAAAAAGAGGAAAAAAGACUGAAAGCAGUUUUGAAUUCUCCAUGUCUGGUGCUACAACCGGUUCUGUAAUCCCCUCAAACCAGGCCUUUGGCCAUUUGCUAAAAUUUGUAACAAAAUUAUGGUUUACAAGAGGUCUGGUCUCUCUCUUAGAAAAGCAAUUGUGUAACUGGGUUUUCUUACUGCCUGCUGCACAAAAAAAAGUCAGUUCAGGAAACUGCAGUAAAGAGAGUUUAAUUGAUAAAAGGCCACCCAUGCCAUGCCAGAGAUGGAGUUAUUACUCAAAUCAAGUAUCAUCAAGGGCUCAUAAGUUAGGAGUUUUUCAAAGGUAGUUUGCGGGAAGUAGUAGUGUGGCAACAGUGGGUGCUUGCUGUUGACCAAUUGGGCUGGAGAUAAAAUCAUAGGCAGUGGAAGCUGUUCUCUUGUGCUGAGUCACUUUGGGGUGGGUACAGGAGCCAUGGGCUGGUGGGUCCAUGUGGAGCCAUGGGUGUCAGAAGUGCAAAAAACCUGAAAAUGAUUCGGAAGGGGGGAAUGGCAUGGUCCCUGGCUAGGGCUCCACCCCCGGCCCUGUGCUCACGGACCUAGGUGAGGACAGGCAUUUUUGUUUUCCUGCCCAAAUGUUGCAUUUCUGUCCUGGCCUGCCAUGCCCCCAUCCUGUGCAUAUGAAAACCUCAGGACCCUAACAGGUAGGCACACAGGUGGCUGGACAUCGAGAGGAGCACAUCAGUGGAGGAACACACGGGUUGCUGGACAUGGAGAGGAAUGCACCAACAGGCACCGGCAGCGGGGAGGCCACUGACCGGCAGAACAACGCAGAGUUUGGCUGGGGCAAUUGGAGGAGAGCCUGGAACACUGAGUGGCCCAACUCCAGGGGAAAACCAGUCUCCCUUCUGGCUUCCUCAUCUACUGAGAGCUACUUCUACUCAAUAAAACCUUGCACUCAUUCUCCAAGCCCACGUGUGAUCCGAUUCUUCCAGUACACCAAGGCGAGAACCCCAGGAUACAGAAAGCCCCCUGUCCUUGUGAUAAGUCAGGGGUCUAAUUGAGCUGACUAACACAAGCCGCCUAUGGACAGCUAAACGAAAACAGCACUCUGUAACACAUGCCCACGGGGGCUUCAGCUGUAAACAUUCACCCGCUAAACACUGCAGUGGGGUCAGAGCCCCACAGCCUGCCCAUCUGUAUGCUCCCCUAGAGGUUUGAGCAGCAGGGCACUGAAGAAGCGAGUCACACCCCCAUUGCACAGCCUGCUAGGGGGACAAGGGAACUUUUCCCAUUUCAGAAAGAUAUCUCAAAAGGCCAACCUUAGGUUCUAUAACAGUGAUGUUAUCUGCAGAAGUAAUUGGGGAAGUUGCAUGUCUUGUGACCUUCAAAAUAAAUGGCUGGCAAUCUUUUAUGUCUAUACUUUGAAGAAUUCAG
Molecule: long non-coding RNA, 1796 nt
Filed under: Homo sapiens (human)
Lineage: Eukaryota; Metazoa; Chordata; Mammalia; Primates; Hominidae
Description: HSALNT0146656
Source: RNAcentral